Molecule: long non-coding RNA, 2429 nt
Organism: Mytilus californianus (California mussel)
Lineage: Eukaryota; Metazoa; Mollusca; Bivalvia; Mytilida; Mytilidae
Exons: 2
Source: RefSeq, a predicted model, not a curated record
AUCAUGAGAGCUGCAAAGUUUGAAGCUAUAAUUAGUCAAUUUGUUGAUUUUUCCAUUUCAGUGGCAUGAAAACCCCCAAAAUACUACGCGUAUUAUUUCGACAAAUAUUCACGACAUAAAUAAUGUCGCGACUAACAUUUUGCUAACAUUUUUUUCAAUUUUACCCCUAACUUUUUUCUGAGUAAAAGCAGUUUGAAGUGAAUGUCAAAAUUUAGAACAUGACCUUGACCUUUGACCUUGACCUUAUUUUCUAAGUUGGGACCCAAGGACCUUCAAUAAAGCGACUCUAGGUUUAUACAGCUUACGGCUUAUGAGUUUAUAUGCAUAUCACUUAUAUCAAACGCAUAAGGGGAAAUAACUCUCAUAUGGAGACUCCGGAGAACUUUGGUGCAAACCGACUCAUCAUCUUGAAGAUAUAGGAAGCACUUUGGUAAAAUAAAUUUGUCGUAAUCUUUUACGGUUGCGAAGGAGUAGUGGACACAAGAAAAACAAUGUUCGGGGAGAUAACUCUUACAACAUAAAGUGUACGGUUUAACAGGGUCAGUUCCAAAAGCGCAAUAACUGUUCGAUAUCAUAUGCGAAAAAUCUAAGCGACAUCUUGUAAAACCAGAAUACUACGCAAGAACAAAAUGUGGCGGAAGAAAAAAAUAAAAUCUCAGAACAAAACCAAUAGGUCUUUCCACGGAAAAGUGGAAAGACCUAAUAAUAAUGAGAACAAAUACAAUAGGUCUUUCCACAGAAAAGUGGAAAGACCUAAUAAUAAUCAGAACAAAUACAAUAGGUCUUUCCACAGAAAAGUGGAAAGACCUAAUAAUAAUAAUAAUAAUCAGAACAAAUACAAUAGGUCUUUCCACAGAAAAGUGGAAAGACCUAAUAAAUGGAGAGAAGAGGAAAGAAAAGAGGUGGGUGUGUGCCAAUGAGACAUUUUAUGAUAUAUAUGGUAAAUUAGAAUGGUUAAAAGUGCACAUUUACAAUAUAAAUCAAUUGUUUUAAAAACAAUUGUUUAACGGUCUUUCCCCUCCAAAACAUGAUAAAUUGGUUUUUUGCUUGGUUGGUUGGUUGGUUGGUUGGUUGGUCGGUCGGUCGGUCUGUCGAUUGAUUGAUUGAUUGAUUGAUUGAUUGCAUGCAUGGCACUUUUUCUGUGCGACGCAGCUAACUCAAAUAACGCCUAUUCUAACCGAACGUGACUGCGUACCUUGUACAUCCCACACAGCCAAACGGACGCCUGAGAUGUCCUCAUAAAAAUUGAUCCUAGCAUCAUUCGUUUAUAAAUUUUCUCUAGUUUCUAUGUUACCUCGGACUUCCAUUUUUCAUCUAUUUGUUGUGUAUGCAUUUUGAUUGAAUUUGUAGGAAAACGGAGUAAAUUUUAUCUUGGAAGUUUUAUUUUCCUUAUUUGGAUAUGGAAUGUUUUAUUCUAAAUUUAGGUCCGCGCGCGAGAUGGUGUUGUGAAGUCACGUGACCCUCGAAUAUAUAUGUCUGGAGUUAGAAUAUUAAUUUCUUUUCAGGGGAGACCGUUGAACAGAGCACAUGUGUACUGAUCGGACAAACAUGAUCACUUUUGGUUUUAUUAUUUACAGGUCAUUGAUGACGGAUCAUGCAUGCAUCUUACGUACACAUGUUUACGGGAGCACAGAUUUGUAUUUCAAUGCAUGAUUAAAAAAUUUGAUUGUAGGAUUUCAGCAAUAUUUACGAUUUUUCUACGUCAUUGAAUUUUAUUUCUCAAUCAAGCGGACCGCGUCUAACGGGAACAUGAAUUGGAGCCGAUUUUAGCAGGAAUUAAUUUCUAUUUAAGAAGUUUGUACAUCAGAAGGAUUGAAUUUUUACAGUCAAAUGUACAGGACUGAACUUCAAGGCGAAAUGGGAUUCCUCAAAGUAGAAGAAAAAAGGGGGGGGGCUAGAGGUGGAGGAUGGUGGACCUUGGUUGAUAAAUUAAGAUAAGAUGCAUGUAUACAUCAUGAUAGCUGCAAAGUUUGAGGCUAUAAUUAGUUCAUUUUGUUCAUUUUACUAUUUCAGUGGCAUGGAACCCCUAAAACAAUGACGCGUACCAUUUUGACAAAAACCUUUCCAGUUAUAUCAUGUCGCGACUAACAUUUUGGUCAAAUUUUUUGGAUACGGCUUACGGUUUACGUGUUACAAAAACAUAACGACACAUUAAUUUGGUAAAGGCAGAUAACUCCUUUAAGAUCUCACUGGAUCGCUUAGAUCCAAAUUAGGCAAAAAUUCCUGAGGAUGUAACAAACAAUUUAGAAAAAGAAUUUUUCGAUAUCUUUUUUUGUAACGAAGGAGAUGCACACACUUGAUAAACAGUGAAUAGGGAGAUAACUCUUACAAAGAAAAUUGUUCGUCUUAGCAGGGUGAAAUUUAAAAGCGCAUAAACUAUACAAUACAAUAUGAGAAAUAUCUAAGCGACAUAUUGCGAAACAAAUAUU